CAUAAAAUGGAUUAUCGCAUGAUAAUCGAUUGAAAGGUGCAAAUGCAUCACUACCAGAUGGACCUGCGUUGUAUUAGCUAGUUGGUGGGGUAACGGCUCACCAAGGCGACGAUACAUAGCCGACCUGAGAGGGUGAUCGGCCGCACUGGGACUGAGACACGGCCCAGACUCCUACGGGAGGCAGCAGUAGGGAAUCUUCGGCAAUGGACGGAAGUCUGACCGAGCAACGCCGCGUGAGUGAAGAAGGUUUUCGGAUCGUAAAGCUCUGUUGUAAGAGAAGAACGAGUGUGAGAGUGGAAAGUUCACACUGUGACGGUAUCUUACCAGAAAGG
This 332-nucleotide ribosomal RNA is filed under the name Streptococcus sp. oral taxon 071. RNAcentral describes it as "bacterial SSU rRNA". It matches the Rfam family "Bacterial small subunit ribosomal RNA", at positions 172 to 491 of the family's 1533-position model. The record is from RNAcentral. Lineage: Bacteria; Bacillati; Bacillota; Bacilli; Lactobacillales; Streptococcaceae.